UAGCUCAGUUGGUAGAGCAUGGUGUUUGCAACACCAGGGUUUGCAACACCAGGGUUUGCAACACCAGGGUUGUGGGUUCGAUUCCCAC
This 88-nucleotide transfer RNA is filed under the name Salmo salar (Atlantic salmon). It matches the Rfam family "tRNA", at positions 8 to 63 of the family's 71-position model. From Rfam's summary of the family: Transfer RNA (tRNA) molecules are approximately 80 nucleotides in length. Lineage: Eukaryota; Metazoa; Chordata; Actinopteri; Salmoniformes; Salmonidae. The record is from Rfam by way of RNAcentral.